UGUGGUGGCGAUAGCACGAAGGUCACACCUGUUCCCAUGCCGAACACAGAAGUUAAGCUUCGUAACGCCGAAUGUAGUUGGGGGUUUCUCCCUGCAAGACUAGGAAGUCGCCACGC
RNAcentral lists this ribosomal RNA (116 nucleotides) under Lactobacillales bacterium. Lineage: Bacteria; Bacillati; Bacillota; Bacilli; Lactobacillales. The record is from RNAcentral.